UAUCAUAUUGGGAGUAGGUCAGAAGAUUCCUCAAAACCAACAUUACAACUUUAACAAACCAUCAACUACCACCUUUCACACCAACAGGGAAAAAAGAAAUCAAAAUGAUUUGAAACUUCACAGAGCAAUUAAGAAAGGAAAUCUGAGUCACCGUUACAGAAAGUAUUAAGAAAUGUUUACGUGGACGGUCUUCAAAGAGAAAUUGUAAGCUAAAGCCGCACCUAUUCUCUGACCCAAGGUAAUUGAAAAUUUACAUCUCGG
Molecule: long non-coding RNA, 261 nt
Organism: Carcharodon carcharias (great white shark)
Lineage: Eukaryota; Metazoa; Chordata; Chondrichthyes; Lamniformes; Lamnidae
Exons: 3
Source: RefSeq, a predicted model, not a curated record